UGAGUGUGCCGGGCGACCGCCCGCCUGAAUCGGUCUACGGCUGAAUCAAGCGGGAGGAAAGUCCGGACUCCGCAGGGCAGGGUGCUGGGCAACUCCCAGGCGGCGCGAGCCGACGGAAAGUGCCACAGAGAACAGACCGCCUAUGUCGGUGGCGACACCGGCAGGCAAGGGUGAAACGGUGGUGUAAGAGACCACCAGCAUCCCGGGAGACCGGGAUGGCUAGGCAAACCCCACCCGGAGCAAGGCCAAGCAGGGAUCACUGGUUGCCCGCCUCGAUUCUCGUUUCGGCGAGGUCGGAUCCCAGGUAGGCCGCACCGAGGUCGCGCGGCAACGCCGGCCCCAGAUGGAUGGUCGCCGAUUCGGCGAAGCCAAAUCGGUCCGAAUUCGCCCAGCGGCGAACUCGGCCGAAAGGUCAGAACCGAUGAACAGAAUCCGGCUUACAGGCACACUCAUUGU
This 456-nucleotide RNase P RNA is filed under the name Acidimicrobiia bacterium. RNAcentral's name for it is "RNase P RNA component class A". It matches the Rfam family "Bacterial RNase P class A". From Rfam's summary of the family: Ribonuclease P (RNase P) is a ubiquitous endoribonuclease, found in archaea, bacteria and eukarya as well as chloroplasts and mitochondria. Its best characterised activity is the generation of mature 5'-ends of tRNAs by cleaving the 5'-leader elements of precursor-tRNAs. Cellular RNase Ps are ribonucleoproteins. Lineage: Bacteria; Bacillati; Actinomycetota; Acidimicrobiia. The record is from RNAcentral.